RNAcentral lists this ribosomal RNA (354 nucleotides) under Agamemnon cornutus. Its description in RNAcentral is "partial 12S ribosomal RNA". The record is from RNAcentral. Lineage: Eukaryota; Metazoa; Arthropoda; Insecta; Phasmatodea; Pseudophasmatidae.
AGUAUUAGUUAAUUUCUUUAAACCCAAAGAAUUUGGCGGUGUUUUAAGGCUAUUUAGAGGAACUUGUCCUGUGAUCGAUAAUCCUCGUUUUAUCUUUCUUUAAUUUGUUUUCAGUAUGUAUACCGCCGUUAUCAGUUUAUGUUAUUAGGUUUGUUAAUUUACUCAAUAUUUUAUAUUGUUUUAUUUCAGGUCAAGGUGCAGCUAAUAUUAAAGUUGAGAUGAGUUACAAUAUUUUUUGAAUUUUGGAUUUGAUUAUUGAAAUUUUUCAAUGAAAUUGGAUUUAAUAGUAAUUUUAUUUAUAGAGGUAAUUUGAUUUAUGGCUCUGAGAUGAGUACACAUCGCCCGAUCGCUCUA